AUUUUAUUGAGAGUUUGAUCUUGGCUCAGGACGAACGCUGGCGGCGUGCCUAAUACAUGCAAGUCGAGCGCAGGAAGCUAAACUGA
Molecule: ribosomal RNA, 86 nt
Filed under: Halolactibacillus miurensis
Lineage: Bacteria; Bacillati; Bacillota; Bacilli; Caryophanales; Bacillaceae
Description: 16S rRNA. Bacterial SSU
Rfam family: Bacterial small subunit ribosomal RNA
Source: RNAcentral